Molecule: transfer RNA, 67 nt
Filed under: Caloenas nicobarica (Nicobar pigeon)
Lineage: Eukaryota; Metazoa; Chordata; Aves; Columbiformes; Columbidae
Description: tRNA-Cys
Source: RNAcentral
GGCUUUGUAGUGAAAAUUUCAUAGUGAGUUGCAAGCUCAUUGAUGCACGUUGAGAGUGCCAGAGCCU